Molecule: small RNA, 410 nt
Filed under: uncultured fungus
Lineage: Eukaryota; Fungi
Description: eukaryotic LSU rRNA
Rfam family: 5.8S ribosomal RNA (bases 92-237)
Source: RNAcentral
AUUCGCAUCAUGCGUCUUCAUAUAAGCCCCGUGCAGCAAUGCGCGUGUGACACAUUUUAUCGUUUGACUGAAAUUUAAGAACUUUAAGAGAAACUUUUAACAAUGGAUCUCUUGGCUCUCGCAUCGAUGAAGAACGCAGUUAUGUGCGAUAUCUAGUGCGAUUUGCAUGAAUCUGUGAGUCAUCGAGUUUUUGAACGCAACUUGCGCCCAGCAAUGGGCAUGUCUGUUCGAGUACCGCAAUAAAAAAAUGUUUUAUACGAUUCGAUUAAACUAAUAGUUUGAUCUAAAAGAGUGUUUUCUCUUGGGAAAAGAGUUCCACGCUAGAGACGCAAGUCUUCUUGGGCCCUCCUCCCUCUCUAACCUCUGGUCUCGAAUCAGGCAAGAUUACCCGCUGAACUUAAGCAUAUCAU